This 497-nucleotide ribosomal RNA is filed under the name uncultured bacterium. RNAcentral's name for it is "partial 16S ribosomal RNA". It matches the Rfam family "Bacterial small subunit ribosomal RNA", at positions 28 to 507 of the family's 1533-position model. The record is from RNAcentral.
GACGAACGCUGGCGGCGUGCCUAAUACAUGCAAGUUGAGCGCUGAAGGUUGGUACUUGUACCAACUGGAUGAGCAGCGAACGGGUGGGUAACGCGUGGGGAAUCUGCCUUUGAGCGGGGGACAACAUUUGGAAACGAAUGCUAAUACCGCAUAAAAACUUUAAACACAAGUUUUAAGUUUGAAAGAUGCAAUUGCAUCACUCAAAGAUGAUCCCGCGUUGUAUUAGCUAGUUGGUGAGGUAAAGGCUCACCAAGGCGAUGAUACAUAGCCGACCUGAGAGGGUGAUCGGCCACAUUGGGACUGGGACACGGCCCAAACUCCUACGGGAGGCAGCAGUAGGGAAUCUUCGGCAAUGGACGAAAGUCUGACCGAGCAACGCCGCGUGAGUGAAGAAGGUUUUCGGAUCGUAAAACUCUGUUGGUAGAGAAGAACGUUGGUGAGAGUGGAAAGCUCAUCAAGUGACGGUAACUACCCAGAAAGGGACGGCUAACUACGUG